CCCUACGGGACGCAGCAGUGAGGAAUAUUGGUCAAUGGGCUUACGCCUGAACCAGCCAAGUCGCGUGAGGGAAGACUGCCCUAUGGGUUGUAAACCUCUUUUGUCAGGGAGCAAUUGGAGCUACGUGUAGCGUUAUCGAGAGUACCUGAAGAAAAAGCAUCGGCUAACUCCGUGCCAGCAGCCGCGGUAAUACGGAGGAUGCGAGCGUUAUCCGGAUUUAUUGGGUUUAAAGGGUGCGUAGGCGGAAUGCCAAGUCAGCGGUAAAAUCGCGGGGCUCAACCUCGCUCCGCCGUUGACACUGGCGU
RNAcentral lists this ribosomal RNA (305 nucleotides) under uncultured bacterium. Its description in RNAcentral is "bacterial SSU rRNA". It matches the Rfam family "Bacterial small subunit ribosomal RNA", at positions 337 to 639 of the family's 1533-position model. The record is from RNAcentral.